Alosa sapidissima (American shad) is the source of this 822-nucleotide long non-coding RNA. RefSeq lists it as uncharacterized. The record is from RefSeq and is a predicted model, not a curated record. NCBI's taxonomy places the organism in Eukaryota, Metazoa, Chordata, Actinopteri, Clupeiformes, Clupeidae. The transcript is spliced from 2 exons.
UUUUCAGAGACACCAUUCAGACCUUCAGGUGUGGAUCAAAUGAAAUAUGUCACCUAUCAGCUCUGAGGACUUCUAGCAUGUCUAUGAGAACAGACACAGCUGAGUUGGCAGUAUCCUGGGGCUUUGACAGUGAUUGUCCAGCUAUGAAAUAGGAAGGGAAGGAGGAAACGGCCAUGCCCUAUUCAUUUAAAGGAACAGCAGGGAACACACUGUCCACCAUUACUCUGUCAGGGUCACCUUUAUGGAUGUACCGGCACAGAUACUAUCCACACUGUACUUCACCUGCAGGCACACAAUUGGGCUGAUUUGAAACUCCACCACUCCCAUCCCAACUGGCCGAGCAGGGUGCUAACGACGCUAUGGUCUCGAGGUCAUCACACACUAACAUCACUGAAAGGUACAUCAGGGAGCACAAGCCUGCUAAAGCUGCUAUGUACAUUUCCUGUGUACAGUCCUCUUGGCCCAUAUUGCUUGUCCUUGAGUGAAGAGCAUGAAAGCAUUUCUGCAGUCCCACCCCCACACCAAGCAGGAACUACAAGCAGUCAGAUGGCAAGAUAGCUGUAAAGACACUUUGUGUACAGUAAACUUGUGUGGUCUUUAUUAGCACUUGUUUAAGCAACAUUGCCCUCCCAAUGCAAUCUUAAUGUCAUCACGCCACAAAAUAAGUAGUGUAUCCAUUGACAUGAAUGUAUUAUUUUCUUUUGUGCCACAAAUUUGAAUCAGUAACAAACUAAAGCACAGUUACAGUCAUGUGUCAUGGGGAAAUCCUUAAUGUUUGUAAAUGCCUUCUUUUGGCAAAACAUAUAAAACAUAUAAAUGUUG